RNAcentral lists this unclassified non-coding RNA (209 nucleotides) under uncultured Gymnopilus. Its description in RNAcentral is "sequence contains ITS2". The record is from RNAcentral. Lineage: Eukaryota; Fungi; Basidiomycota; Agaricomycetes; Agaricales; Cortinariaceae.
AAUUCUCAACCUUACUAGCUUUUGCGAAGUAAUGGCUUGGAUGUGGGGGUCUUUUGCUGGUUUUGAAAGAAAUCUGCUCCCCUUAAAUGCAUUAGCCGGUGCCCCGCGUGGACCCGUCUAUUGGUGUGAUAAUUAUCUACGCCGUUAGACGUCUGCUAUUAAAUGGGAUUGCGCUGCUUCUAAUCGUCCUCUUAGGACAAUUAUUGACC